UACGUAGGGUGCGAGCGUUAAUCGGAAUUACUGGGCGUAAAGCGUACGCAGGCGGCGCGUUAAGACAGGUGUGAAAGCCCCGAGCUUAACUUGGGAAUUGCGCUUGUGACUGGCGUGCUGGAGUGUGGCAGAGGGAGGUGGAAUUCCACGUGUAGCAGUGAAAUGCGUAGAGAUGUGGAGGAACACCGAUGGCGAAGGCAGCCUCCUGGGCCAGCACUGACGCUCAUGCACGAAAGCGUGGGGAGCAAACAGG
This 253-nucleotide ribosomal RNA is filed under the name uncultured bacterium. RNAcentral's name for it is "partial 16S ribosomal RNA". It matches the Rfam family "Bacterial small subunit ribosomal RNA", at positions 524 to 776 of the family's 1533-position model. The record is from RNAcentral.